Molecule: long non-coding RNA, 337 nt
Filed under: Homo sapiens (human)
Lineage: Eukaryota; Metazoa; Chordata; Mammalia; Primates; Hominidae
Description: HSALNT0038353
Source: RNAcentral
CAAGAAGUCCCUCACCAGAUGCCAACCUCUCGAUCUUGAAUUUCCCAGCCUCCAAAACGGUCAGCUUUUACUGGAUAUUUUUGAGGAAGCACUGUGUAUAGACUACUGGGAGAUCGAAAGUGAUGAGUCUGACCCUUUGGGAUACAACGCUCCAGUAAACCGAGGGAUAACCAUGGAAGAGCAAGCAGCUGUAGAGGAAGGAAACAAUGAAGCACCUAAGUCAGGAUUUCAUGGAUUUUCAGCAAUGUAGACAGAACAGAUGAAAGCACUACUGGAGUAAUCAGAAUGAGAACGGUGAUUGAAGAGUGAGAUGUGGCCUAAAACCAUAUCCAUGUCA